RNAcentral lists this ribosomal RNA (465 nucleotides) under Vreelandella stevensii. RNAcentral's name for it is "partial 16S ribosomal RNA". It matches the Rfam family "Bacterial small subunit ribosomal RNA", at positions 338 to 795 of the family's 1533-position model. The record is from RNAcentral. Lineage: Bacteria; Pseudomonadati; Pseudomonadota; Gammaproteobacteria; Oceanospirillales; Halomonadaceae.
CCUACGGGUGGCAGCAGUGGGGAAUAUUGGACAAUGGGCGAAAGCCUGAUCCAGCCAUGCCGCGUGUGUGAAGAAGGCCUUCGGGUUGUAAAGCACUUUCAGUGGGGAAGAAAGCCUUGGGGCUAAUACCCUCGAGGAAGGACAUCACCCACAGAAGAAGCACCGGCUAACUCCGUGCCAGCAGCCGCGGUAAUAAGGAGGGUGCGAGCGUUAAUCGGAAUUACUGGGCGUAAAGCGCGCGUAGGCGGUCUGAUAAGCCGGUUGUGAAAGCCCCGGGCUCAACCUGGGAACGGCAUCCGGAACUGUCAGGCUAGAGUGCAGGAGAGGAAGGUAGAAUUCCCGGUGUAGCAGUGAAAUGCGUAGAGAUCGGGAGGAAUACCAGUGGCGAAGGCGGCCUUCUGGACUGACACUGACGCUGAGGUGCGAAAGCGUGGGUAGCAAACAGGAUUAGAUACCCCAGUAGUC